GCCCUCCAAUUCCCGAUCCUAUUGGAUCUGAGCAUUGGUCAUGGUGGUCGUGAAAGGAGGAACAGUAACACUGAAGCUGGCCUCACAGGGCUCAGAGUCUGCAACUGCAGCACAUGGGAUAGUUUUAAACAAGG
Molecule: small nucleolar RNA, 134 nt
Organism: Sorex araneus (European shrew)
Lineage: Eukaryota; Metazoa; Chordata; Mammalia; Eulipotyphla; Soricidae
Source: Ensembl